This 2723-nucleotide long non-coding RNA is filed under the name Sus scrofa (pig). Its description in RNAcentral is "lncRNA (ENSSSCG00025010363.1)". The record is from RNAcentral. Lineage: Eukaryota; Metazoa; Chordata; Mammalia; Artiodactyla; Suidae.
GGGCUCGGCGCGGACCCGCCCGGGCGCACUCCUCCCAGUGGCUCUCGGCGUCCCGGCGUCCCGCCGCCCUGCCCGGAGCCGGCCGCGGUCCCCUCUACCCCUGAGGGCACUCCCGGCACCCAGCACAGAGGCUCGCCCGGGGAGGUCGCGACGGGAGGCUGGCCCGCGGUGGCCCGCGGCUCGCCUACCCGCAGGUGUUCCUUUGAUACAGUGGAUGGUGACUCUGCUGUUCUGCCUGGGAGUGGUUCAAAAUGCUGACCACACUCCUGCUCCUGUUCCUGACCCAAGGAAGCCCCCAUGCAGAGCACCCCUGUCCUCUCUGAAUGGGACCAGCAGCUGGAUACUGAGUACCAAUAGCGUCUGCCCUAUACCGAAUCCGAGGAAGGCCCUGAAGGUCCAGUAACUUGCCUUAGGGACACAGGUAAGACGGGACAGGGUCCAAAUGCACACUCAGUCCCACCUGUUUCCAAAGUCCCGGGGCCCAAUUAUGGUGCUAUCCAGCCACCUACCAGUCCAUACUGUAUUCCAGGGAACAGGCCUUGGGACUGCAGAGUUGGGGCCCCUCAAGGCCACCUGCUCAGGGCUGUCCCUCAACAGGUGAGGAAUCUGAAUAAGGGAGAAGCACAUAGGCUCAGCCACGUCCACCCGGGGAAGUUGGUGGCAGAGCCAGAGCAGAACCUGGGUGCCCUCUCCACCUUGGCUCUGAUAGAUCGUGAACCUCACAGGUAUGAUGAGGAUUCAGAGUUAGAGCAUACAAAGUACAUAGGACAGCACGAGGCCUGGACGUCCACAUCCUGCAGCCCCUGCCACCAAACUGUUCACCUGGGGAUCCUGCCUGACGCAAGCAACCUGCAUGUGGUAGAAACCCUCAGCUUGGCAGAACUGCAGACCACAGCAGCCCCAGUGUCCAUGUUAUAGCCAGUGUCCCAGUAGAGAUUCUUUCACCGUAGAUGUAAGAGUCCAGACACUUCUGAAUUCGAAAACCAUGGUGAUUUAUGUGGUAUGGCCACGAUUGAUAAAAUAUUCAAAGUUCUAUCUAUCUCCCCCAACUCCAGCAAGAACUUUGGCAGAACUUCUGUGCCACAGGCAGUACUAAGGAACUUGCCAAUUUUGCAUCCUCAAAAUAAAACAGGUUCCAAGAUAGGUGGCAGAAAGUGGAAAAUGCAAUAUUUCUUGAUUGGGUAACUAAGAACCAUGCAGCAGGCAGGAACCAUUUGAGGCCAGAGAAAUGUUCAUUUAAAGGUGUUUACUGACACCUGGAGAUAGAGGUUAAACUGCAAAUGCUACUUUUAUGUUUGUUUGUGUUACAUAAUUUCAUAAUGGUGGUACAGUCCAGGGCAGCUACCAAAAUGAAAAUUCCAAAGUCAUAAUUUUACUGCUGCGUUUCUCCAGCAGAGACUUUCUAUACCUCCCAGGUGAAUCUUAGGAAGAGCCCUGGAGGGCAGCUGCCAGCCGAAGGGCAGGGCGGGGCGCUGUUUUCACCAUGACCACCUGAUCUCUUCUCGGCUCUGCUUGGUGUGCACGACUGCUCCACUCGUCCGCGUUAACUCUCAUGAUGUGUUUGGGAUGCGCUCCCCCUCUUUGUAGGACUGAGUCAGGGAGAUGUUCUCCCUCCUCGGAGGAUUCCAUUCUGAGCCCAGUCGCCUUAGUAGAUGCGGGAGCUACUCCACGUGGCCUUUGAGGUCUGGGUACCCUGGGCAAAUUGAGAGGGAGGGGGUCUUGGCAGAGUAACCACUCAGAACUCAAGGUAAGAACCGUCCAUCUCUGGUUUUUGUGUUUGGCAGUAGAGGCAUGGGAACCCCUGCAUUCCUCGCAUAUGAGUAUCAGGACUUGAGGAAAAGUCUGUACUCAGAACUUGGUUGCCAGUGGGGAGGGGGGAGGGGGAGGUAGAGGUAGGGGAUUAAGAGGUACAAACUGUUGGGUAUAAAAUGAGCUACAAGAGGCGUUCCCUUCGUGGCUCAGCAGUUAAUGAACAUGACUAGGAUCCAUGAGGAUGUGGGUUUGAUCCCUGGCCUCGCUCAGUGGGUUAAGGAUCUGGCUUAGGUGUAGAUCACAGAUGCAGCUCCAAUCCCAUGCUGCUGUGGCUGUGGUGUCAGCUGGCAGCUCUAGCUCCGAUUCUACCCCUAGCCUGGGAACUUCCAUAUGCCGUGGAUGUGGCCCUAAAAAGACAAAAAUAAGCUAGAAGGAUAUAUUGUACAAUAUGGGGAAUAUGGCACAUAUUUUAUAUAUAUUUCAAAAUUGCAAAUCACUAUAUUGCACACCUCUAGGAGUUCCCACUGUGGUGCAAUGGGAUCGGUGGUGUCCCGGAGCACCAGGACACAGGUUUGAUCCCCAGCCCAGCACAGUGGGUUAAGGAUCCAGCACUGCCGCAACUGUGGCACAGAUUCAAUCCCUGGCCUGGGAACUCCAUACAUGGGGUGGCCAAAAAAGAAAACAAAAUAAAAACCUAUACUUAUAAAAAGGAAAAGAAAAAUUAAGUAAAAAAUUGUUUAAAAAUUUUUUUUAAAACUUAUAUAUUAGGUUACUGUUCAACCUCCUAGGGUGGGGAAAACGCAAGCCAUGAGGGGUCGUAUUUCCCUCAGAGGGUUGUUGAAGGCAUAGACCCCUUUCCCAGACAAGCAUCAUUGCACAGAUGAGUGCAGGGCUCCUGAGAGCCACUGAUACCCACCCCUGACCCCAGGGCAAUAGGAAAGCUGGCAAAGGACACAACAACAACAAAAAAA